CUAGCCGUAAACGAUGGAUACUAGGCGUUGUGAGUAUCGACCCUCACAGUGUCGUAGCUAACGCGUUAAGUAUCCCGCCUGGGGAGUACGCGCGCAAGCGUGAAACUCAAAGGAAUUGACGGGGCCCGCACAAGCGGUGGAGUAUGUGGUUUAAUUCGAUGCAACGCGAAGAACCUUACCAGGACUUGACAUGUCGCGAAUCUCAGGGAAACUUGAGAGUGCCUCCGGGAGCGCGAACACAGGUGGUGC
This 249-nucleotide ribosomal RNA is filed under the name uncultured Chroococcidiopsis sp. RNAcentral's name for it is "partial 16S ribosomal RNA". It matches the Rfam family "Bacterial small subunit ribosomal RNA", at positions 796 to 1044 of the family's 1533-position model. The record is from RNAcentral. Lineage: Bacteria; Bacillati; Cyanobacteriota; Cyanophyceae; Chroococcidiopsidales; Chroococcidiopsidaceae.